Molecule: long non-coding RNA, 243 nt
Filed under: Elaeis guineensis (African oil palm)
Lineage: Eukaryota; Viridiplantae; Streptophyta; Magnoliopsida; Arecales; Arecaceae
Description: long non-coding RNA (EGUI_LNC002457)
Source: RNAcentral
GGGGAGCAUAGUGCAAGGUGGAGAUCCAGGUAAAGAUGGAUCGGACAGGAGACAGAAGACUCGAAAGGAUGAGAGGCGACGUCGCAGAGUGAAGUUCCUAUUGUCAUAGGAGACUUCCCAGAGGAGGUUUCUUAUCAGAGUGGACAUGGCCCAUGAUGGAGGUGGGGUCGAGCGACCUAGUUCGACUCCCAUAUUUGCCAAUCCAUGAGACAGCAGAUGUGCCCUUGGGUAAGGGGGUGAGAU